UAACCGAACAUGCGAAUGUUCGCUGAACUAUCAGAAAUCAGCAGAAGCCAUAGUACUAGAUACUUCUAGAAUAUCUAGGAAGGGC
Bacilli bacterium VT-13-104 is the source of this 85-nucleotide non-coding RNA. Lineage: Bacteria; Bacillati; Bacillota; Bacilli. The record is from Rfam.